RNAcentral lists this ribosomal RNA (777 nucleotides) under uncultured Neocallimastigales. RNAcentral's name for it is "partial large subunit ribosomal RNA". It matches the Rfam family "Eukaryotic large subunit ribosomal RNA", at positions 20 to 644 of the family's 3401-position model. The record is from RNAcentral. Lineage: Eukaryota; Fungi; Neocallimastigomycota; Neocallimastigomycetes; Neocallimastigales.
UACUAGAGUAGCACUCGCAUAUCAAUAAGCGGAGGAAAAGAAACUAACAAGGAUUCCCCUAGUAACGGCGAGUGAAGCGGGAAGAGCUCAAAUUUGAAAUCUUAAAGGGUUUCCCUUUACGAAUUGUAGUUUAAAGAAGUGUUUUCUGUUGAGGUUUUGGUAAAAGUUCUUUGGAAUAGGACAUCAUAGAGGGUGAGAAUCCCGUAUUUGACCUUUACUUUCAACUUUGUGAUACACUUUCAAAGAGUCGGAUUGUUUCGGGAAUGCAGUCCAAAAUGGGUGGUAAAUUUCAUCUAAAGCUAAAUAUUGGCGAGGAGACCGAUAGCGAACAAGUACCGUGAGGGAAAGAUGAAAAGGAACUUUGAAAAGAGAGUUAAACAGUACGUGAAAUUGUCAAAAGGGAAGCGUUUGACACCAGUGUUGUUUUUCUGAAAAUCAAUUAAAGAACUGUUUAUGCUAAGUUGUUUAGACUUUAUCAGCUAUCUGCUUAGUUUUGAGCUUUUCUUUAAUGCACUUUUCAGUUAACAAGUCAACAUCAAUUUCUUUUGCUGUAAAAAAGCUUGAGGAAGGUGGCUUGAGAUUCGUCUUAAGUGUUUAUAGCCUCUUGCCUAUGCAGUCGGAGAGAUUGAGGUCUGCAGCGUAGAUCCUUCGGGGCUAAAUGCAUUUGUGCUAAGUUAUAGCAUUUUAUAGACAACUUGUUGACUAUGAUUUGUCUUGUAGCUUACUCGCCUAUGUUAUUUUACCUACGCUUAGGAUGUUGAACUACUGAGACAUAGA